This 680-nucleotide ribosomal RNA is filed under the name Candidatus Nanopelagicus sp. Its description in RNAcentral is "bacterial SSU rRNA". It matches the Rfam family "Bacterial small subunit ribosomal RNA", at positions 28 to 722 of the family's 1533-position model. The record is from RNAcentral. Lineage: Bacteria; Bacillati; Actinomycetota; Actinomycetes; Candidatus Nanopelagicales; Candidatus Nanopelagicaceae.
GACGAACGCUGGCGGCGUGCUUAACACAUGCAAGUCGAGCGAUGAAGUUUCUUCGGAAAUGGAUUAGCGGCGAACGGGUGAGGAACACGUGAAGAAUCUGCCCUCCACUUUGGGAUAACACCGGGAAACCGGUGCUAAUACCGAAUAUUGAAACAUAAGUGGCAUCACUGAGUUUUGAAAGAAUUUCGGUGGAGGAUGACUUCGCGGCCUAUCAGCUAGUUGGUGAGGUAAUGGCUCACCAAGGCAACGACGGGUAGCCGGCCUGAGAGGGCGACCGGCCACACUGGGACUGAGACACGGCCCAGACUCCUACGGGAGGCAGCAGUGGGGAAUAUUGGGCAAUGGAGGAAACUCUGACCCAGCGACGCCGCGUGCGGGAUGAAGGCCUUCGGGUUGUAAACCGCUUUCAGUAGGGAAGAAGCGAAAGUGACGGUACCUACAAAAGAAGCACCGGCUAACUAUGUGCCAGCAGCCGCGGUAAUACAUAGGGUGCAAGCGUUGUCCGGAAUUAUUGGGCGUAAAGAGCUCGUAGGUCGUUUGUUACGUCGGAUGUGAAAACCUGAGGCUCAACCUCAGGCCUGCAUUCGAUACGGGCAAACUAGAGUUUGGUAGGGGAGACUGGAAUUCCUGGUGUAGCGGUGGAAUGCGCAGAUAUCAGGAGGAACACCAAUGGCGAAGGC